This 420-nucleotide ribosomal RNA is filed under the name uncultured bacterium. Its description in RNAcentral is "bacterial SSU rRNA". It matches the Rfam family "Bacterial small subunit ribosomal RNA", at positions 358 to 775 of the family's 1533-position model. The record is from RNAcentral.
GGAAUAUUGGUCAAUGGGCGGGAGCCUGAACCAGCCAAGUCGCGUGAGGGAAGACGGUCCUACGGAUUGUAAACCUCUUUUGCCGGGGAGCAACGGGGUCCUUGCGAGGGCCCAAUGAGAGUUCCCGGAGAAAAAGCAUCGGCUAACUCCGUGCCAGCAGCCGCGGUAAUACGGAGGAUGCGAGCGUUAUCCGGAUUUAUUGGGCGUAAAGAGGGAGCAGGCUGCUGAACAGGUCUGUGGUGAAAGCCCGAAGCUAAACUUCGGUAAGCCAUGGAAACCGGACAGCUAGAGUGCGUCAGAGGAACGUGGAAUUCCAUGUGUAGCGGUGAAAUGCGUAGAUAUAUGGAGGAACACCAGUGGCGAAGGCGACGUUCUGGGGCGCAACUGACGCUCAUUCCCGAAAGCGUGGGGAGCAAAUAG